UACGGGGGGGGCAAGCGUUGUUCGGAAUUACUGGGCGUAAAGGGCUCGUAGGUGGCCAACUAAGUCGGACGUGAAAUCCCUCAGCUUAACUGGGGAACUGCGUCCGAUACUGGAUGGCUUGAGUUUGGGAGAGGGAUGCGGAAUUCCAGGUGUAGCGGUGAAAUGCGCAGAUAUCAGGAGGAACACCAAUUGCGAAGGCAGCUCGCUGGGACGUUACUGACGCUGAGACGCGAAAGCGUGGGGAGCAAACAGG
Molecule: ribosomal RNA, 253 nt
Filed under: uncultured bacterium
Lineage: Bacteria
Description: partial 16S ribosomal RNA
Rfam family: Bacterial small subunit ribosomal RNA
Source: RNAcentral